This 138-nucleotide ribosomal RNA is filed under the name uncultured bacterium. Its description in RNAcentral is "partial 16S ribosomal RNA". It matches the Rfam family "Bacterial small subunit ribosomal RNA", at positions 355 to 509 of the family's 1533-position model. The record is from RNAcentral.
UAGGGAAUUUUGCGCAAUGGGGGAAACCCUGACGCAGCAACGCCGCGUGAUUGAAGAAGCCCUUCGGGGUGUAAAGAUCUGUCAGUGGGGACGAAACUUGACGGUACCCACAGAGGAAGCAUCGGCUAACUCCGUGCC